AUGAAUUUCCUCAUUUGGAACUGUCGGGGAUUGGGGUUGGACCCGACAGUUGGAGAGUUGAGGGACCUAAUUAGGUCGUACAACCCAGCGGUGGUUUUUCUAUGUGAGACGAAGAAGAAGGCGCGAGCUAUGGAGAAAGUCAAAUGGAGUCUAGGGUUCCGGCACGGCGUUGCGGUAGAUUGUGAGGGAAGAAGUGGUGGAUUAGCUCUUCUCUGGAGGGAUCAUAUUCGGUCACUCUUAGACCUUGGUGCCAUUACUUUAUUGACGCGGGAAUCAUGUCAGAGGGAAGGACCGUUAGAUUCACUGGAGUCUACGGUGAACCUAGGACGGAGCACAGGCGGAAAACUUGGGAUGCCCUUCGUUAUUUGCAACGACAAGACAAUUUACCUUGGCUGUGUGCGGGGGACUUUAACGAGAUUCUGUUUCAAACAGAGCAGAAAGGAGGCAACCCGAGGAGCUUCCACCAGAUGGAGGAUUUUCCGGAGUGCCUUGGUGAUUGUGGAUUAG
RNAcentral lists this ribosomal RNA (507 nucleotides) under Triticum aestivum (bread wheat). RNAcentral describes it as "partial small subunit ribosomal RNA". The record is from RNAcentral. Lineage: Eukaryota; Viridiplantae; Streptophyta; Magnoliopsida; Poales; Poaceae.